CCUACGGGGGGCACCAGUGGGGAAUAUUGCACAAUGGGCGCAAGCCUGAUGCAGCCAUGCCGCGUGUAUGAAGAAGGCCUUCGGGUUGUAAAGUACUUUCAGCGGGGAGGAAGGUGUUGUGGUUAAUAACCGCAGCGAUUGACGUUACCCGCAGAAGAAGCACCGGCUAACUCCGUGCCAGCAGCCGCGGUAAUACGGAGGGUGCAAGCGUUAAUCGGAAUUACUGGGCGCAAAGCGCACGCAGGCGGUCUGUCAAGUCGGAUGUGAAAUCCCCGGGCUCAACCUGGGAACUGCAUUCGAAACUGGCAGGCUAGAGUCUUGUAGAGGGGGGUAGAAUUCCAGGUGUAGCGGUAAAAUGCGUAGAGAUCUGGAGGAAUACCGGUGGCGAAGGCGGCCCCCUGGACGAUGACUGACGCCCAGGUGCGAAAGCGUGGGGAGCAAACAGGAUUAGAUACCCUAGUAGUC
RNAcentral lists this ribosomal RNA (465 nucleotides) under uncultured bacterium. RNAcentral's name for it is "bacterial SSU rRNA". It matches the Rfam family "Bacterial small subunit ribosomal RNA", at positions 338 to 795 of the family's 1533-position model. The record is from RNAcentral.